This 1159-nucleotide ribosomal RNA is filed under the name Salmonella enterica. RNAcentral describes it as "partial 23S ribosomal RNA". It matches the Rfam family "Bacterial large subunit ribosomal RNA", at positions 1783 to 2925 of the family's 2925-position model. RNAcentral also lists the same sequence under 1 other name. Lineage: Bacteria; Pseudomonadati; Pseudomonadota; Gammaproteobacteria; Enterobacterales; Enterobacteriaceae. The record is from RNAcentral.
UACCAGCUGGCUGCAACUGUUUAUUAAAAACACAGCACUGUGCAAACACGAAAGUGGACGUAUACGGUGUGACGCCUGCCCGGUGCCGGAAGGUUAAUUGAUGGGGUCAGCGCAAGCGAAGCUCCUGAUCGAAGCCCCGGUAAACGGCGGCCGUAACUAUAACGGUCCUAAGGUAGCGAAAUUCCUUGUCGGGUAAGUUCCGACCUGCACGAAUGGCGUAAUGAUGGCCAGGCUGUCUCCACCCGAGACUCAGUGAAAUUGAACUCGCUGUGAAGAUGCAGUGUACCCGCGGCAAGACGGAAAGACCCCGUGAACCUUUACUAUAGCUUGACACUGAACAUUGAGCCUUGAUGUGUAGGAUAGGUGGGAGGCUUUGAAGCGUGGACGCCAGUCUGCGUGGAGCCGACCUUGAAAUACCACCCUUUAAUGUUUGAUGUUCUAACGUGGACCCGUAAUCCGGGUUGCGGACAGUGUCUGGUGGGUAGUUUGACUGGGGCGGUCUCCUCCUAAAGAGUAACGGAGGAGCACGAAGGUUGGCUAAUCCUGGUCGGACAUCAGGAGGUUAGUGCAAUGGCAUAAGCCAGCUUGACUGCGAGCGUGACGGCGCGAGCAGGUGCGAAAGCAGGUCAUAGUGAUCCGGUGGUUCUGAAUGGAAGGGCCAUCGCUCAACGGAUAAAAGGUACUCCGGGGAUAACAGGCUGAUACCGCCCAAGAGUUCAUAUCGACGGCGGUGUUUGGCACCUCGAUGUCGGCUCAUCACAUCCUGGGGCUGAAGUAGGUCCCAAGGGUAUGGCUGUUCGCCAUUUAAAGUGGUACGCGAGCUGGGUUUAGAACGUCGUGAGACAGUUCGGUCCCUAUCUGCCGUGGGCGCUGGAAGACUGAGGGGGGCUGCUCCUAGUACGAGAGGACCGGAGUGGACGCAUCACUGGUGUUCGGGUUGUCAUGCCAAUGGCACUGCCCGGUAGCUAAAUGCGGAAAAGAUAAGUGCUGAAAGCAUCUAAGCACGAAACUUGCCCCGAGAUGAGUCUUCCCUGAGACUUUGAGUCUCCUGAAGGAACGUUAAAGACGAUGACGUUGAUAGGCCGGGUGUGUAAGCGCAGCGAUGCGUUGAGCUAACCGGUACUAAUGAACCGUGAGGCUUAACCUUACAACGCCGAAG